RNAcentral lists this long non-coding RNA (227 nucleotides) under Capsicum annuum. RNAcentral's name for it is "long non-coding RNA (CANN_LNC011831)". Lineage: Eukaryota; Viridiplantae; Streptophyta; Magnoliopsida; Solanales; Solanaceae. The record is from RNAcentral.
UUCUCUUCUCAGUUUUUGGUCUUUUUAAUCUCUACCCCUCUUUGUGUGCCUUUUUUCUUUCAAUGUUGUUCUUUGUUACUUUUCCUCAAAUGUUGUUUUCCUCCUUUUGUGUGUACUUUUUGUCUCCCUUUACUUUUGUUUUUGGUUUUUCAAGUUUUUUUUUUAUUGUCUGUAGUGUGAGUAUAUAUAGUGCGUAGGGUGGGAAGUUGAGGGAGUUUAAGAGGAGG